GGAUGCGAUCAUACCAGCACUAAAGCACCGGAUCCCAUCAGAACUCCGAGGUUAAGCGUGCUUGGGCGAGAGUAGUACUAGGGUGGGUGACCUCCUGGGAAGUCCUCGUGUUGCAUUCC
Molecule: ribosomal RNA, 119 nt
Filed under: Triticum aestivum (bread wheat)
Lineage: Eukaryota; Viridiplantae; Streptophyta; Magnoliopsida; Poales; Poaceae
Source: RNAcentral